GAAAUGCGAUAAGUAAUGUGAAUUGCAGAAUUCAGUGAAUCAUCGAAUCUUUGAACGCACAUUGCGCCCGGCAGUAUUCUGCCGGGCAUGCCUGUUCGAGCGUCAUUUCAACCCUCAAGCCCUGCUUGGUGUUGGGGCCCUACGGCUGCCGUAGGCCCUGAAAGGAAGUGGCGGGCUCGCUACAACUCCGAGCGUAGUAAUUCAUUAUCUCGCUAGGGACGUUGCGGCGCGCUCCUGCCGUUAAAGACCCCAUCUUUAACCAAGGUUGACCUCGGAUCAGGUAGGAAUACCCGCUGAACUUAA
Molecule: unclassified non-coding RNA, 303 nt
Filed under: uncultured Sordariomycetes
Lineage: Eukaryota; Fungi; Ascomycota; Sordariomycetes
Description: sequence contains ITS1
Rfam family: 5.8S ribosomal RNA (bases 1-105)
Source: RNAcentral